This 265-nucleotide ribosomal RNA is filed under the name uncultured Synergistaceae bacterium. Its description in RNAcentral is "partial 16S ribosomal RNA". It matches the Rfam family "Bacterial small subunit ribosomal RNA", at positions 1121 to 1382 of the family's 1533-position model. Lineage: Bacteria; Thermotogati; Synergistota; Synergistia; Synergistales; Synergistaceae. The record is from RNAcentral.
UCGGGUAAGUGCCGGGCACUCUGGAAGGACUGCCAUCGACAAGAUGGAGGAAGGUGGGGAGUGACGUCAAGUCAUCAUGGCCCUUAUGUCCAGGGCGACACACGUGCUACAAUGGCCGGCACAACGGGAAGCGAGUUCGCGAGGACGAGCGGAUCCCUCAAAGCCGGUCGCAGUUCGGAUUGAAGUCUGCAACUCGACUUCAUGAAGCUGGAAUCGCUAGUAAUCGUGGAUCAGCCAAGCCGCGGUGAAUACGUUCCGGGGCCUU